Molecule: ribosomal RNA, 387 nt
Filed under: Nasutitermes takasagoensis
Lineage: Eukaryota; Metazoa; Arthropoda; Insecta; Blattodea; Termitidae
Description: partial 16S rRNA
Source: RNAcentral
CUUUUCUUGUUAGUUUUUGAAGUAUGGCCUGCCCACUGACUUGGAGUUGAAGGGCCGCGGUAUUUUGACCGUGCAAAGGUAGCAUAAUCAUUAGUUCUUUAAUUGUGAUCUGGUAUGAAUGGCUUGACGAGACAUAAGCUGUCUUGGGGGUAUUGGUUUAUUGAAUUUGGUUUUUGAGUUAAAAUUCUUAGAUGUUUUUAUGGGACGAGAAGACCCUAUAGAGUUUGACAAUUUUCUUAUUUAUUCAUUGUUUGUUUUAUUUAUAUUGAGUGGGAAUAGAUUGUUUUGUUGGGGUGAUGGGAGGAAUAUUAUUUAACUCCUCUUUGUUUUUAUAUAUUUAUGUAUAUGUUUUUGAUCCAUUUAUUUUGAUUAUAAGAUUAAAUUACC